GCAAGACUGAAACUUAAAGGAAUUGGCGGGAGAGCACAGCAACGGGAGGAGCGUGCGGUUUAAUUGGAUUCAACGCCGGAAAACUCACCAGGGGCGACUGUUACAUGAAGGCCAAGCUGAUGACUUUGCCUGAUUUUCAGAGAGGUGGUGCAUGGCCGCCGUCAGUUCGUACCGUGAGGCGUUCUCUUAAGUGAGAUAACGAACGAGACCCUCGCCUCUAUUUGCCAUCCUUCUCCUCGGAGAUGGAGCACUAUAGAGGGACCGCUGGCGCUAAGUCAGAGGAAGGAGAGGUCAACGGUAGGUCAGUAUGCCCCGAAUCUCCUGGGCCACACGCGCGCUACAAAGGACGGGACAAUGGGCUGCAACACCGAGAGGUGAAGCCAAUCCCGAAACCCGUUCGUAGUCCGGACUGAGGGUUGUAACUCACCCUCACGAAGCUGGAUUCCGUAGUAAUCGCGGAUCAACAUCCCGCGGUGAAUGUGCCCCUGCUCUUUGCACACACCGCCCGUCAAACCAUCCGAGUUGGGUCUGGAUGAGGGUGCCU
Molecule: ribosomal RNA, 544 nt
Filed under: uncultured Thermoplasmatales archaeon
Lineage: Archaea; Methanobacteriati; Thermoplasmatota; Thermoplasmata; Thermoplasmatales
Description: bacterial SSU rRNA
Rfam family: Archaeal small subunit ribosomal RNA
Source: RNAcentral